AUGACUAACCUCUGUUUGGUGGUGCAGGAGGAGAAACUGAAGCGGCCGCUCUCACACAUGCAGGCGUGGGAGAUUGCCCAUACGCGGAAGGACCCCAAGCCUGGCGAGCCCAAGUACUACGGCAAGAAGACCGCGCAUAGGAAGAAGGCCUACUCCGAUGGGUAUCUGGCGUUACAUCCUGACACACCUGACCCCAUUGCGGCAGAUCUGGACGAAAGGGUGGUGGUGGGCAUGGGGCCGAAGGAGCACGGUCGGGAGGCGGUUCUCGAUGCUGUGAUCACUCCUACUAUCUUCUACACACAGCUCCGUCGGAUCGACCCGACCCUGAGCCAGCGCACGAGCACGCCCAUGAGCAGUGCACCGUCACAGUCCCUCUUUCAGGAGCAGCAAAAUGUAAGUAUUUUCCCUUUUAUCUUCAUUGCUCACUUUAUUUUCCGCAUUUAG
This 444-nucleotide ribosomal RNA is filed under the name Triticum aestivum (bread wheat). RNAcentral describes it as "partial small subunit ribosomal RNA". Lineage: Eukaryota; Viridiplantae; Streptophyta; Magnoliopsida; Poales; Poaceae. The record is from RNAcentral.